RNAcentral lists this long non-coding RNA (634 nucleotides) under Nicotiana benthamiana. RNAcentral's name for it is "long non-coding RNA (NBEN_LNC018715)". The record is from RNAcentral. Lineage: Eukaryota; Viridiplantae; Streptophyta; Magnoliopsida; Solanales; Solanaceae.
CCAGACCUAAAAUCAAUCUUCGAAAACAUUUUGGCACCUUGAAGCUGAAAAAUAAGUUAUUAUUCCUUAAUAAUAGAUACUUGUUCUUGAUGGCAACUUUGUUGAACUGCCGAUAAUCUAUGCACAUCCUCAUCGAACUAUCCUUCUUCUUCACGAAUAACACAUGCGCAUCCCAGGGCGAAUCACUAGGUCUCAUCAAGCCCUUAUCAAGCUAAUCUUAAAACUUCUCCUUCAAUUCUUUCAGCUCUGGUGGGCCAUGCGAUAUGGCAUAAUAGAAAUAGGUUGAUUGCCUGGAGACAAAUCAAUAGAGAAUUUAAUAUCUCUAUUGAGCGGCAUUCCUAGCAUAUCUGCAGGAAACACCUCUGCAAACUCACGAACAACUAGUACUGAACCCAUGGAAUGAAUCUCCGCACUAGAAUCACAGACAUAAGCCAAAUAAGCUAGACACCUAUUAUCAACCAUAUGCUGAGCCUUCACAUAAGAGAUAACCCUGCUAGUAGAAUGGCCAAGAGUGCCUCUCCAUUUUAAUUAAUGAAACUCCGGAAAAGGCUAAGGUCACUGUCUUGGCGUGACAAUCCAAUAUAGCAUGAUAACGUGACAACCAAUCCAUACCCAAAAUGACAUCAAAAUCAAC